RNAcentral lists this long non-coding RNA (3040 nucleotides) under Heterocephalus glaber (naked mole-rat). Its description in RNAcentral is "lncRNA (ENSHGLG00000043550.1)". The record is from RNAcentral. Lineage: Eukaryota; Metazoa; Chordata; Mammalia; Rodentia; Bathyergidae.
CCCGCCCGGCCGCCGAUCCACGCGAGCGUGGCCUCCCGCGCAGACUCCGCGCGGCGGGGAGGUGACAGGGGAGGGGUCGGCGUCGGGAGCGCGCUGCGCACGGGCGGGGCGGUGGGUCCCGCGGGUUGGGGCGGGCUCGCCUGCGGAGCGCAGUCUGGGGACCCGCCAGGCGCGGCGAGACGGCUGAGGGCCAGACCCGGGCGGGGCCGCGCCGUCCUCUGGGGGGGAAGCGGGGCGGGCGCGGGAGAGGCGCGGCGAGCCCAGGGCAGCUCCGAGGGCCCGGUGCCCGCCCUGCCGGACCCGGGCGAGGCAUCCGGGCCGAACAGGUGGCCCUGGAGGAUGCGCCCAGGGUGGAGCGGGAGGCGAGAGGGAGGAGCGGGGGGCGGGAGAAAGGAGCGGCCGAGGCCCGGCCUCCCCCAGGGGCCCAGGAGCCCCAAGGCCGGCCCGGCGGGGACCUCGUGUCCGGCUGGUGGCCCGGGGACGUCGCUUCAGUACCUGCGCCUUCCGAGCCCCGCCCUGCCUCGGAUGAGUCGCGGCCCGGGCCCUCAGGAUUGCGGCCCGCCGGACCUGGCCGAGGAAGGGCUCGCCCCUUCGUCCCAGAGCAGCCUGUGCCGGCGAGGUCCUUCCCUGAAGCCCACCUCCCUGAGCCAGCGGAGUGCUGCCCGAGGCUGCCCGGGCCCCAGGCAUGAGGAAGAGAAGCAUGACACGUUGGUAUCAUAAUGGGCUUGCUGCGUAAAGAUAGCAGCAUAAUACAUCUUGCCGGUGAUUCCAUGAAGGACUCCAGACUUCCGACUAUGGAACGCAAUUUUCUAUUUUAUAUCUUUAGGAGAAAAGGCUCAAAGAAUGAAAGAAGAAAACUUCACAAAUAAUAAGAAGGUGUGAAUGGGCUUCAGAGUGAGAGGCAACAGUAACUUUGCUGCUUGAGGACCCUCUCACCUCUGGAAAGUGUUGAGCUCUGAACGGUGUCAUGUGUCUCAGUAGCUUAGUCCUCCCUCAAAUAUUCAGAGUUUUUAAGGUGGUGGAGAUGGAAUCCAGGGCCUCACACAUGCUGGCCUGAAACAAAGGAUUCCCCUGCCUUACCCUGCAGAGUCCAGUGGGAUUCCUGGCCUGCACCACUGUGCCUGGCUCACAUAUUCAAACUGCUGAUUGCAGGUAUCAUGCUGAUUCUUGAAACCAUUGUAAACCCUGCCCUAACCGUGCCUAAAUGUAUGGACCUGACUUGGAGUUUAGAAAUACCACAAACAGCUAGCUCCAAGUCAUUAUUGCAUUCAUAAAGACCAGCACUAGGAUUCUUACCUCAGUGCACUGGCUCUUAACCACCACGCCCGCCGUGUGUCUGCCUCUUCACUGGUGUUUAGGAGCUCAGAGGUGCAGAUCGAGUCACUCAGCUUUCCUAAGCCUCAGCUUCCAAUUUUUAUCAGUGAGCAUAGUGCCGUGGGAAUUAAAGGACAUAGCUAGCUUCUUAGGUCAUCUGUAAUCAUGCCUAGGUCAGGGAUGCUACGGGACACCAGGUACUGUAAAACAUACCGCCUUGCAAGGCAAAAGGCUUCUCUGAUCUGUAGAUGAGUUGAAACCCACUUAGAGCAGGUCAUUGUAGAUAAGGCUGAAUAAUACUUGACCUGUGAGGACAGCUGAUUGGUAAGUAGCAUACAUUAGUGGGUCUUCUGAUGCCCAUAUGUUCUAAGGUGGUAACACCAGUUUCCCUAUUUUACAAUUUGUCUACUUGUGUAUGCUUUGAAAAGCCCAUGAUACAUUAAUACACCAGUGAUCAGCAAAAGACAAGCACCAGGCCCUUUGCUUCCAAGGAACCCGGAGCCUGGACUGGAACCCAGAGACCUGGGCAGAGUUUGAAUUGACAGCCCGGACUCCUGAUGAGCAGUAAUCCCCCUGCUUCUGUUUCCCCGUGGCCUCCAUGCCGUGCUUUGGAAGGAGGAGAAGUCAAGCCAGAGAGACGCGACAGUGGAGAGCAAACCCUGGUGCAUUCAUGUCUCUGCCUGGCCCCUCUUCCUGUCAUUUACUUGUCUCUCAAGGCGUUUUUGUCUGUCUCCCUGCUAGAAUCUAAGUUCCAGGAGGCCAGGGAUGUUUGAUUGUCCUGUGCCUCGCUGUGUUCCCAAACCCCGGGCAGUGACUGGCACACACCUAUCGCUCAACAAAUGCUCAAAGGGGAAAAAAUGUGGGGAUAAUUGAUUUAGAAAAACGUGGGUAAUAAAGAAAAUGUUGUUGGAGAACAAGCCAUUUCAAGUCUUGAUUUACACAGGUAAAUUUAACUGGAAAAAGUUACUAAAAUAUUUCAUAGGGUUUUUCCCCAAAUUAUUAUUUUUUAUUGAUAUAUAUAGUCCAUCUACCAUUAAAAUUAACCCAUUUAAAGCAUAUGUUCCUAUGGUUUUUGGUAUUAUAGAAAGAUUUUCACUAUCUUUUUCAAAGUAUCAACUAUUACAUAUAUAAACUCAGUAUCUGAUGAGACAUGAGAACUGGCCACACAGACAUGUGAAAAAUAUCAGUUCCACCAAACGUCAUUAUUAGACAGUCUUUAGUGACUCUGACACUGAAGUCGUGAAUUGCUAAUAACUAGGGUUUUUCCGUAUGGAAAUCCACAUAAUCCUCUUUAAGUAAUUAAUCACUGUCAAUGCUUAUACUUAAACUUGUAUGAAAAAAUGAUACUCAGAUUGGUUCUGUAUGAUAAAUGCAUAUGAAAACAAUAAAAUUCUAAUUCCGAUUGGCACAUGUACCUAUUUCUUUAUUUGUAUCAUUUACGUGUAUAUGUGGAAUCUGUUUUAUGUUGUCAUCUUUUCCUUGCAUGAAGGGAUGAGUGUUUAUGAUACUGAAGUAUGUGAGGCUGUAAAUGGCAUUUACAUUCAAUAACUACAUCGAUGCUGCUUCUGCAUUUAAUCGCUGGCUGGAGAUAUUUAUUGCUUGGUGUACUAUUCUCCCAUAAACAGCACUACCUCAAUAGGACACUCUCUUACUACUGAUUAUUUUCCCCUUUCCGUGGAAAUGAAAAAAAAAAAAACAACCAUUUUAUAAAAAUAAAACAUUCCCA